Capsicum annuum is the source of this 1325-nucleotide long non-coding RNA. RefSeq lists it as uncharacterized. NCBI's taxonomy places the organism in Eukaryota, Viridiplantae, Streptophyta, Magnoliopsida, Solanales, Solanaceae. The transcript has 2 exons. The record is from RefSeq and is a predicted model, not a curated record.
UUUUUAUCCCAAAAUAACAAGUCAUAACAAACUUUGCCUCAUUCUAACAUUCCAACAUCCCACCUAAUAAAAAAUGGACACCUAACCCCUACCCCUCCAAUUAAAAAAAAAAACAACACCUCACCACUCACCAAACUACCUCACCACCACCACCUCCAUGUGACCCCCUACCUUUUUUUGUUUACACAUUUUCUUGCCUUCUCCAUUUAUAGAAAAAGACAAUACACAAAAGAGGAGGAUUCAUUGGGGUCCACAGAAUGACAAAAAAACAUAAAACACAAAAUAGCACCAUCACCUCACAAUUUCAUAGGCACACAAUCAUCUUCUUCACGAUAUAUUCACUCACAUUAACUAAUAAGAAGGAGAAGGAGAUACUCACCCUUAACAAAACCUCAUACCCUCUUUAUUUUCUCCAUUGAUUACACAGAAAGAACACUACACACAGAAAAUGAGGUAGAUCGAGAAAGAGUAGCAGAGAGGAGAGACGCAAAAAAGAGAGGAAAAGAGAUCUGGGUUUCUGUCUUUUUCACCUUCAUCCAUGCCUACAUAUGAAAAACACACGCACAUGAUGAAAACAGUGAAAACAACAAAAAAAUGAGCAAAAAUAGCGUGAGAAUCGAAGGAGAAAACAGAAUUCAGGUUUCUAGUUAGUGUUCCGGUGACCCCUUUGCCGGAACUCAUCAUUCUCUUUCGAUUUCUGGGUGAAUCUGGUCAGGAAACGAUAAUCUCAAUGGAAUUUAUCUUGAUUCAUCGUUACUGCCGUUGUCUGGGCGAACCGGAGCUCAGGCUAUACUGAUUUUGACUUUUUGUUGCAUUGUUGGGGUGUUGGGGUUCAUCUGUUUUUGUGUUUCAUCGUCAAAACCAGGUUUCCAUCUUGUCGAAUUUCUUAGAUUUGGUUUUAAUUUUAUUCUUGGGUUUUUGAGAUUCGAACUUCAUCUUUCUAUUCGGGGAUUUUCUAUUGUCGUUCGAAGUUGUUGAUUCGAAUGUUUAUAAUUGAGUUUGGUUUCCCGAAUUAAAUUUAUUCGGAUUGGUAUUGGCGAUAUCGAGUUGGAUCUUUGUCAUUUUUGAAGCUAGAAGUUGAGGUUCUCGGGCGUGGUUCUAUCUCCGAUGUAUUGAAAGCGACACUUGAGGGAAUGUCCCAACGUAUCAUGUACUCGGAGGAUGCCUGUGAUGAAGGCCCGAAGCAUCGGGUAUGGCAUUGGAGUGUAGUUUAGGAUUAGUGUAGGUUAGCGUAGGUUUACUUUUCAGUACCUUUUUCAUUUCGGGUUGUAAUAAUUGGAAUGAACACUAUAUUUUUGGACUAGUUUUGUUUGUUUGAUCGAUCA